RNAcentral lists this ribosomal RNA (281 nucleotides) under Escherichia coli. RNAcentral describes it as "partial 23S ribosomal RNA". It matches the Rfam family "Bacterial large subunit ribosomal RNA", at positions 1 to 273 of the family's 2925-position model. Lineage: Bacteria; Pseudomonadati; Pseudomonadota; Gammaproteobacteria; Enterobacterales; Enterobacteriaceae. RNAcentral also lists the same sequence under 1 other name. The record is from RNAcentral.
GGGUUGUGAGGUUAAGCGACUAAGCGUACACGGUGGAUGCCCUGGCAGUCAGAGGCGAUGAAGGACGUGCUAAUCUGCGAUAAGCGUCGGUAAGGUGAUAUGAACCGUUAUAACCGGCGAUUUCCGAAUGGGGAAACCCAGUGUGAUUCGUCACACUAUCAUUAACUGAAUCCAUAGGUUAAUGAGGCGAACCGGGGGAACUGAAACAUCUAAGUACCCCGAGGAAAAGAAAUCAACCGAGAUUCCCCCAGUAGCGGCGAGCGAACGGGGAGCAGCCCAGA